Molecule: ribosomal RNA, 583 nt
Filed under: uncultured bacterium
Lineage: Bacteria
Description: partial 16S ribosomal RNA
Rfam family: Bacterial small subunit ribosomal RNA
Source: RNAcentral
UGGGGAAUUUUGGACAAUGGGCGAAAGCCUGAUCCAGCAAUGCCGCGUGUGUGAAGAAGGCCUUCGGGUUGUAAAGCACUUUUGUCCGGAAAGAAAUCCUUGGCUCUAAUACAGUCGGGGGAUGACGGUACCGGAAGAAUAAGCACCGGCUAACUACGUGCCAGCAGCCGCGGUAAUACGUAGGGUGCAAGCGUUAAUCGGAAUUACUGGGCGUAAAGCGUGCGCAGGCGGUUUGCUAAGACCGAUGUGAAAUCCCCGGGCUCAACCUGGGAACUGCAUUGGUGACUGGCAGGCUAGAGUAUGGCAGAGGGGGGUAGAAUUCCACGUGUAGCAGUGAAAUGCGUAGAGAUGUGGAGGAAUACCGAUGGCGAAGGCAGCCCCCUGGGCCAAUACUGACGCUCAUGCACGAAAAGCGUGGGGAGCAAAACAGGAUUAGAUACCCUGGUAGUCCACGCCCUAAAACGAUGUCAACUAGUUGUUGGGGAUUCAUUUCCUUAGUAACGUAGCUAACGCGUGAAGUUGACCGCCUGGGGAGUACGGUCGCAAAGAUUAAAACUCAAAUGAAUUGACGGGGUCAUAGCUG